RNAcentral lists this ribosomal RNA (306 nucleotides) under Triticum aestivum (bread wheat). RNAcentral's name for it is "partial small subunit ribosomal RNA". Lineage: Eukaryota; Viridiplantae; Streptophyta; Magnoliopsida; Poales; Poaceae. The record is from RNAcentral.
AUGGUUUUCCCAGGAAGGGGAAGGAUCCGUGUCGAUGCUGACGGUGUUCAGAGGAUAUUUGAUCUCCCAAACAGGGGUCCAAAAGUCAGAUAUUUAGUUGACAAGGAUGCCACUAGGAGAUUCAGACAGGCUGUCAACAUAACUGGAAAUUCUCAUCCCCAGAUCACUACAUGGCUCAAGAUGAUUCAGGAUAUGGCUGGAAGAACGGAUGACACAUUCUUUAUGGCCUGGCUUGCGAUACUAUACCUUGAUGCGCUCGUACAUGACAUUCCAGUAAGCAAUUGUGCAAUACGAUCGAAUGCAUAG